Molecule: long non-coding RNA, 13018 nt
Organism: Bombus huntii
Lineage: Eukaryota; Metazoa; Arthropoda; Insecta; Hymenoptera; Apidae
Exons: 3
Source: RefSeq, a predicted model, not a curated record
UGCGCGCUCGUACUUCACAGUCCCGUGAAAAUGUCGUGGCGCAUUUACCGCGUGCGAACUUUACGCGUGUCUCCUACGAAAUUCGUGUUUUAUAAAUUACCCAUAAAUUUCAUUCUGACCGCCGCCCCUUUCCUUAUCUUCCGAUUCAUCACGUUUCAGUCGAUUUUUCGGUAAUUAUCUAUGCACAGAAAUUCUUUCGCGAGGACAACAAUCGAUAAAAACCAGAUGACUUGGAGAGCUGCUAUCUUUUAACAAAUUCCGAGUCUAUGGGAGCAAUUGCUUAAGUCUGCGUUAUCUUCAUAUGCAUUACCAUGUGUGUAGGUAAUUGAAUACGAAAAACGUAUCGAAUGAUAUUCUUUGCGAUUAGUAUAAAGUUGCGAAGGAUUCCAAAGCAACAUAAUAAAUUACGUUAGUAACAACUCAAGUUGUGACGUGAAUUAGGAAUGCAGCCAAAACGUCAGUAAUUAUUAUGUUGUAACAUAAAUUGGAUCGAUUUAAUUGGCUGUAAAUUUAUCCGCGUACGAUAUCCAGACGUUUUAGAGAAUAUGUAAAACAAUCUCUGCGUGCAUGUGGUUAUUUAUCAAUUUUUUUAAACAGACGUUUUAAUCGUGGUCCAUUCUGAUAUUCCCGAAUAUCGCAAUUAAAUAAAUGUCAAAGUAUCUACUAAAUAAAUGCAUGUCUAAAAAAAUAUCUACAGAAGCUCUUUCACGUGCAAAGUACUAUAAAAGUAAAGGGAAAUUAAAGAAAGACGCGAAAGGUGAUUUUAAUUAAGUUGUUUCCAACAUGAAUAUGUAUGGUGUAUCUCUCGAAUAACGGACCCAUGCGUAAAUUAUAGCGGUUAAAUAAACGCUACGCUUCUUAGUCUUGUUGGUUGACAGAUGUUAUAUUUGCUAAACCGAGUACGAUAAUGAUCUAAAAUCAAGCAAUAGGUUUUCAACGAUACCUAAAACUGACAUCGACGAAACGAAAGUAAUCUCGGAGCGAAUUCAGGGACAAAGGUAUAUGGCGAUAUAACCACGUGUCAAAAUAUAUCCAAUGGAAUUGAAAAGUCCCUCGAUCGGGUUCUGCGCGAGAACGUUACGCUCCAGGACGUUAAGUGACCUGUCGCGUAAAUGCGGUAGACGAUGAAACUGUUAUUUGACGAGCUGUAUCAACGUAAACCGCUGGGUCUCUGUCGCCCUCGUUUCCACUGGGAAUCAGACGAGUUUGCUCAGUACAUGCCGAAUGCGCGUACGAUGUUGAUCGUUUGCCAGACUACUAGAAAUUAUCAUCCCCCGAAUAUACCCGGUGCAUAAACGAUCGUCGACUGUACGUGCGUUUACCGAUGUUACGCAUCAGUGAAAAUAGCUUUGGACAGAUCGCUGUGUUUGCUACUCUUAUUUAAACACGCAGCCCUUUUUUGGUUGAUCACACUUCUUUUCUCCUCCAUUUUCCAGCGUCUUCUCGUACUUCUUUCUUCUCAUGCACGACACUUUAACCCUUCGAUACCAAAACUUAAUCUAACCGUGAAAUUUUACAUAGUACGUGUGACCUUUCGAUCUAAUUUCAAUCUGUCGCGAAUCAGUUGCUCUAAGUUUAUCUACAGAAGUGUGAAGAGGAAAAGAAAUGGUAGCAGAUAUACUAAAAACUACAAAUAUAUCAAAAAUAGACUUAAGAAGUCUUAUCUUGUGAAAUCUACCUUAAGAAAUCUUUCACUUACUAUCAUAAGUACUAUACUACUACAAACGCCAAAGAUACACGAGUACUAAAAUACGUCGUCUUUGAAAAGAAGAACCUCGAAGAAAAGUACCAAAAGAGAUAUAUAACGCCAUACAGCGUUAAGCCAUAUAGCGUCUAUAACGCUAUGAGAAGUAGACAUACUCGUGUACCUAUACGUAUUUUUUAAAUCUUAUUUUACCUUCGUGUUACUAUACUAUUAUAUAAUAUUUCUCGAGAAUAAUUUUUUCAUAUCUUUCAUUCUUCGCGAGAUAUUCGCGUAUUCAGUCAAAACAAACAUAUUGUAUAUUAAAUUAUCCUCGCUGAUUCUAAAGAAAUAAACGAAUAGCCACUCAUAUAAUAGCCUAAUAACCCAAUAUCGACGUUCGAUUCGCUAAACACGAAACAUCUCGUGAUCUAUGCAUACAAUGACCAUCGACAGAAAAAUGCUCGUAUACCAUGCACCAACCGAAUCAGCAUGAGCUAUCAACGUGUUCGUACGUCCAUGCCUGCGGUAUCUAUCGCUAGCGUUGGGAUCAAGUGUAUUGCAAGCAAGUUUGAAUCUAAUUGUAAAGUUUCGUAUGUCUUGCGAAUAAGUACUUUGAGAAAAAGGUGAUUUUAAUUGUAAGAUUAGAUGUAACAGGUUCGAAUAUUUUUAAUAAAAGUAGCUCGAUGAACGAGAGAUGGAUAAGUUACUUUAUAAACGUACAGUGAUGGACAAAAGGAAAUCCGAUAUUAAUACUUGUAUGUAUGUAUGAAUACCAGUAACCUCCGUGUUAGACAUUUUUUAUUACGUUAUCGAUAGUUAUCUAUAUUGGAAUAUUAUAUCUAUUCCUUGGUUCUUUAUCUUUUAAAUUUUUUUUUGUCCGUCACUAUUUAUAGGAAAUGAAAUAUCAUCUUUUACGAGAUAAUGGUCGAAUCUGGUAAUUGCAAACUUUUAUACCGGCAUUGACUUGGAUUCGCGAUUACCUAUUGAACUUGAUCCCAUCGCUAUCCAUCGAACGUGGUCUAAGUUUAGUCGUCGUUCACGCGGUCAUCCGUCACUCGAAAUUGGCAGAUCGCAGUCACGGUGCGAUUCUCGUACGGUCAAUUACGUAAACAGGUCCGACGUGGCAGAACGGCUCGGCGUCGCGACGGAAAUAUUUGGCCGGUAAUAACGCAUAGCGUGCUUCCUCGGGUGGUCACUCGCGUUUUCGGCUCCACCCGUUCUGCGCUGCAGCGAUAACUUUCGCAAUUACACGAAUAUGCACGGAGUGAAAUGCCGCGCGUACCAUGAGAUUUUGAAAUCUAUCCAACCUCGCUACUACCGUUAAACGGAUUGAAAUAAGGGUGGUUUUGUACUUUCGCUCCGUAUCUGACAAUGAAAUAAUAAACGGUGGAUGCGUCGAAUUAGUCGUGAAAUCGUGCAUAAUCUUUUCCUCUGUCCUUUAGAAUUUAUGAAAUUCUCCUACUGGAAAUUGUCGAAUACUUCCGAUACUCGUACGUUUUUAUCGUUGCUAUUUAUAAUCGUUUAAUCCAACUUACUUUCACUCGGUCAUCGUGCGAAUUGAGUUUAAGCGCUUUUGAUAAUCGAUAAUUAAGCAUAUAGAAAUAAAUUAGCAAUUGACAAUCUCUGACGCGUUUACGCAAUUUAAGCAACCAGCGGAAGAUUGUCCACGGAUUGAAGGAGAUCGAUAAGAGACUGUCGACAUCUCGUGCAGCCCCAAAAGUCCCAUAGUAAUCAUGUGGCGUGAGGCGUAGUCGUUAGAAGAGCUUUGUGGUAUAAGCGAAAGCCGGUGGAGGUUCUGAAAUUAGGGGGCAAUUCCCCCAGUGCUUUCGGUUCAACUUCCACUGGGAGGUACCUGGUUCUCUCUGCCCCAGAACCAACCAACAACCACCAGCCGGCAUGCACGCGCCGUCCGAAAGUACCGGCUUCGAGACAGUCGUAUCUAUGCGAAUCGAAUGCUAACGAGCGCAAAAUUGCGACCACGCUCCACGCUCGACCCUGUGACAGAAAUUUUAAACGCCACGUGGGAUAACCAGGCUUACGCGUGGUCGGAAAUUACGGCGAACUCGCUGUAUGGACGAAAUAAGCUUUGCAUUGUAAUCGUUAUUGGCGAUCGUUCCCGUUGUUUGAAGGGGAUCAAGUAAAUAAGUUAUUGGUACAGGUUUUUAGGAAAUAUCGGUGUAAUUUUAGGUUCGCGACAGCAUAGAAAGAAAGUUAUUGCAAAAUUCCAUCAAUCCCAAUUUCAGUGAUUUUAUGAUUAAACUCGCGAAUAACUCGCGAGCGGAAGUUGCUCGAAAUUAAAUUAGAUUUUGUCAAAUUAUACAUUUAAAACACUUUUUACUUCUGAUUUCUCUCUUGAGAUCAUCCAGCAAGAGAUUUUAUGAUAGGUAUUACAUAUCGUUCGUACGCGAUAAGAGUGACACAUUGCCAUGAUCUAAAUAGAUGUGACAUAAAGCUAUCCAGGAAUUCUAGUUUAUGACGUUAUUCGACGAUAAACUGAUUUAAGGCGUCAUGUCGCGUCGAGGCUUUCGUGAUCACACUAAAAAAUAAUUUACGUAAAUAUUUACAUCACGUAUUGGACUUUAAAAUCAUAAUUCGUUUAUUCGCUCGCUUUUACACGUGAUAAUUACAGAACAAUAUACAACAACGUAAUUAUUUUCUAACUUCAGUUUCUAAGUUAAUGAAGUAUUUUUCGUCCGUUUCAGCGUUCAACCUCUACAAAUCUAAGAUCCUUAUUUUGUAGCACUGUAUAAUUUCAUUGCUACGUUGCAACAACAUUCUCCUUCGAAUCAGAGAGCCAUGGCGAUUAAGCGCACGUAGGACGCGAUGACGGUGCAACGAUAACGGCCGAUCAUUCCCUCAUGGUUUUAUGAUUAAUUCUUUAUCGGUCUGUCUUUCCUUUGUCAGCUCGAAAUCGUCGAUUCCUCGUGACUAAAGUUUAUUUUCCGUACUCUCAUUGUCCUCUCCUGUCGUUACCACUGGUACGAGGGCGCACCGUAUAUUUCGCCGUGUGUUUUUGCAUCCAUUUAGAUGGCAAUCGUGGUCAGAGACAUUUUAUUGCGACCGAUCACGAAGUUCAACCCUAUGUUCUCUCCGGUUUUCCGCGUAAUCCUCGCGUUUCCACCGUGUCCUCAAACGCGCACACGCAAAGCUGUAUUAACGACUUCCUUCUACGAUUCUCUCGUGGCAAUGUUGGAUAGGCAGGAAUUGAAGAGCUUACUUCGAAUCCAUCUUAAAUCCGACGAACGCGAAUUCGAGAGGAUCCUCUUGUUACUACGCACCUUUAUUAAGAGUAUUGCUCGAAGGAAUAACGGUGCUUGUAGCAUAUUAUCGACUCGAAUAAAGAGAGAAACGAAAGGGAUAUUGUGCUGUUGAUAAAAUAAUGGAGUGCUGAGACGAUUAACAUAAUUAUGAUUUGUAAUAAUGUACGUAUAAUACAAAGAGACGAAACGAGUGGAAGCUAUUAUUUUCAAGAAUGACUCGUUUAAAAAAGGACGAGUAUCUUUCCUUUUCGCGUGCUUGCCUUACAAAAACUUAUAAAGAAAGAGACGAAACGAGUGGAGGUUAUUAUUUUCAAGAAUGAUUCGUUUGAAAAAGACGAGUAUCUUUCCUUUUCGUGUACUUGCCUUACGAAAACUUAUAAAGAAAGUAAAUUAACCGCAUGUACAUGCCAAUGUGUAGCACCUAAUUGGAAACUAACGAUCGGCAGUUACUCUGGUACCACUAGCAAUCUCUCUAUACGCCGGUACACCCCUGAAUGCGUAAUCAUUCAAGCGCAUGUGAUCCCACUGGUCCUGCUGGAUUCUCGGUGCCCUGAUAGGUGAUUAAAUUUAAAUUUGUCUUAGCUGAACAAACCUCGAUCUAUCAUACGCAGCGAGGACGAGUAAUGAAAAAUGAGUUUGUCAUCCGAGAUAACGGGUAUUUAGGCUGUGUUGUAUGAAAUUCCAGUUUCGCUACUACAGUUUGUCGAUCUAGCUUUUUCCUACGGACUUAAGAUGGCGUUGAAUCGCUUCUCUACGAACCGUGAUUGAGUACCGGAUCGAGAAUAUAUUUUCGUAAUCCUGAAACAGCGCUAUUCCUCGAUUGAUAAACGAUAAUUUCAUUUUUAUUAACUUUUAUGGAAUCUUAUCAUCUAUCUUAUCGUAAAUACGAUUGUAAGGAGUUGCAUAAAGAUUGGGGACAGAUCCAUUAAAAGGGAAAAAAUAUCGUAGGUUCAUUAGAUUCGACCUUGAUUCAGAGUAAUUGGCAGAUAUUCGUUUGAUCGUUGCUUUGCAAGAUUCAACUAUCUUAUCACGAAGUAAGAUAAAGAAAGACAAGAUUGUUCGACAAUGAACGCGAUAACUAUCGUAGGAGACAAAUAGGGAAAAUAAUCUAAUCGACGAAUACAGUAUCCUUGCAGCCAUAAGAGAUUAAUUAGUUAUGUUUUCGACGGAAUAAAGACAGAUCCAAGUGCAAUUUUCCUUGAACAGAUUGUAAUAUCCCUAUCGUGGAAUAAAAGUCAAUAUCCUUUUGUGAAAAUUCUGCUCAUUUCUAAGGAUUAGGAGAGAAAUAAGUCGGGAAGAGUAAAGUACAGGAAACGACAUUAUUAUAUCGGUGAUUCAAAAAAUAAACAACUAAAAGCGACAACUAUCCAGCGAUACAACACGAUAAGUUUGUCGAAAUUCGCUCGUCACCUUCCAAUUUCUUAUCUUUUAUCGAUUAUCCAUUAAACCUACGGUUACAACCAAUUGAAGGAGGUGGUCGAUUUUAUGGUUCCUCCCCUUUGGCCCAUUACAAUACGUCAGGAAUUGAACAGGGCGAUUCGCGCGUUGUGUCCUCGUAAAAUUCCGAGCACAUUUAGCUGGGCGAAUAGCCUUCGUGGAUAAAAUCCACGAGAACGAUGAUCUGUUUGGCCGGUCGAAGGAGGGAAGAAUGGAGUCUAGAGGGAACGAGGAAAAAAUGUAUAGGAAUUAUCGGCGUUGACGUACCAACGAUUUUGCGCGGUCAUUCAAUAACUUCGCCUAGAGGCAACCUGCGUGAUACAUUUUCGGAUGGAGCGGCAUAUGGCGUACCAACUGCUCUCUGUACGAGACGAUAAGAUAACGGUCGUGCAUUCGUUCUUAUCAAAGAUGUCUAUAUUGAACCGUGAGAUAAAGCACGGCUUUUUUCUGGGGUUCACGAUGGGAACCUAUCAAUUUUUCUUUCGCUCCUGCGAUGAUGGGACAGCAAGCAAAUGGAAUUUUGUAUUAUUCGAUGGAAAAUGGGAACGUAUCUCGAAAGGGCACUUCGGAAAUUGUAUUUUGUUUCGAAUGUAAAAGCUGGAAAAGACGCUUUAACGUUAAUAUCGAAAGAUAAAAGACCUUAACAAUAAGAUACAACGUCGAGCAGUCUGAAGUUCAAAUAAAAAAGAUGUCUUUUAGAUAGAUCGAACGCACGAAAGAAUUUCGCAAGCGCCAUUUUCGAACGUUGAAAUAGACAGGCGAAAAUACUCGCUCGACAGCCCGUCCUUUUGAUUUCGCUGAUUGAAAUUCUGAGUAUUGCGACCUGUAUCGAUUGAACGAACGACAUUUUUGGCACGACUCACCGCAACUGUACUAUUUUCAUAUUUAAGAUCUUGGCUUUUCCACGAAUCGUUUAAUCAUCAUCUGCACGCUCUUCGUCGAAUCUACAUAUAGAUUGUAUUUUAGGCUAUAAUCGAAUGGAGGAAAAGGAUUUUUAUUACCGUACUUUUCUAACGCUCUUCUGAUUCGAGUACCUUAAAUAUUGAACGAAGUAGAUAAUAACGUUCCGUUCGAGUUAAAUAUUCAACGUUCAUAGAAAUAUUAAAUAUGAAUAAUUGGCAUGUAUGCGUGGGGCAACGAUCUCACUUCGUCUUUUCUUUUAAAAGUCGUAUCUUUUUCUUCUCUCUUUAGUUCCUCAAUGUCAAAAAAAGGGGAAGUGGUGUAAAUAUUUGAACGUUCUCCUCCGUUCGUUCUCUUUACAUUUUCUUCUUAGCUUCUCUGCGUCGCAAAAAGAAAGGAAUUAGGUUAAAUAUUUGGAAGAUAAAAUUUAUUUACAUUCUAUAUCGUUAACGGAGGUUACAUUAUUAACUCUUUCCGCAAGGGCAAAUCUGCACGACAAAAUGACGAAGAAAUAAAAUAAGUUAUCUGUUGAGAAAGUUACAUUGCAUUAUAGAGGGUUGAUACACCUGUACUUACACGUGUCUUUCAGAAAAUCGUUUACAAAAUCGUUUCAGAAACUCAUCGUCAACUAAAAUCUUGUAAAAAGGAAGAUAAACAAAGGUGACACGAAACGUUAUCUUUAUUCAGCGAUUCGUUUCGUAGGAGGCGGUAUGAAUAACAAGGCAGGGAAAAUGUGGAGAAUCGUGAUCCCACGUGAGAUCUCUGGUGGAAGCGUGUCCUGGUCGAGAUGUAAAAAUAUUUCUUGAUAACAUUGUCGUGACGGAAUUUUUCGCUCGAUUGCGGUUCUCCGCUUCGCGAUUUCGCGGCUCGUCGCUACGACAACGACGACAACGACAACGACAACGACGAACGGGAAUACCAUUACCGGCGAAUAAAGAACCGAGGCUAGACGUUAUAACAGCAUCGCUGGAGCUGCGCCUCCGGUUCCUUCGAGGGCUCUCCCGGGAACUCUAACGAUGUUGCGCAGCGAAAAAGAAAUUCGAGCGGUUCCGGUGCUGAUAUACACGUAUACGAAGAACCUUCGCAGAAAUACCGAGCCAAAUAUGCUUUUAAGAACGCAGAUGCUCUUGCAUAGCGGGGAUAUUCUUAAUGCCUUUGUAAACCCGUCUCUCCCGUUCACGUGUCCAUUUUUAUUCUUCACCCUUACCUUCUUUCUUUCGCUUUCUCGAUCUUCCGCUGAGUUAUCUCGUUCUUAGACGUUGGCACUCGUUGUCUCUGAAGAACUUCGCUACUUCGAUCCUUUAGUUUAAUAGACAAAAUUUCCUUACUAAGAUAUAUCUUCUUCGUUUGUGAUUCGCUUUUACGUUAUAUAUAAUAUAACAUUAAUUAGUAUCAUUAUCAAACGUAUACGAACGGAGAAAUAGAUUCAGCAAAUUUGUUCAAUCGAUUACUCCGUAACUUCUUUGAUUCUCAAGUGCGCUAUGUGAAAACCAUUCAAUCUUAAAUAGCUUAAUGAUAUCUUCCUCGUGUUUUUUGUUCGUUUACAUUUUGAAGCAAUCGACGAUGAAAGUAACGAUAAUUCGAUAAGGUUGAAACGUUAUUAUGAAAAGUGAUGUACGCGUCACCGGUGAACAUGGUGAGAAGAACAGUUACGACACGGUUGACAACGUGGCAAGAUAAUCGAAUAACCGGUGCACCGUAGCACCCUUGUUCUCGGUGCAACUGAGCUCACCUGUGUACGUGCCAGACUUUCUUCUAAAGAGCGAGACAGAGGGAAGGGAGGGGAGAGAGAGAGAGAGAGAGAGAGAAGUUUCAUGGCAAUUAUCUGCCCGCGUCUUAACUCGCGGUAUUACACUUUCAGCUCUAGCGACGCUGCUUUCCUCGAGGAGGCGGUCUUUUCCGGUAUGCGCCAACUAUGAGUUGCAUCGCGAUGCGAACACCAAGUAAUUCAUUCGUACAAAUUUCGAUUACGAGAGGGUGAAAUGUUCGUAGUUGGUGUCAACACGAAAAGAACAAUUUCGCUGCGAUGUUUAAUACACAUGUUGUUCUAGGUUCCACUAGCUAUGUAACGAGAAGUAAAAAAUCAAAUUGUAAGAUAUACGGUAGGCUACUUUCGAAAUAAGAACAUAAUCCCCUUUAAAAAUUUCUCCGUUAUCGCGGAAGAUAUUCCCUCUUCUAUAAUUAGCCAGCCAAUGCUCAUUAUUUCUCAUGCAUGACGCUUCGUUAUUUUCGAACUAAUUAAAAUUCGCUGUUGUUGCGCGGCAAAUUCUCCAUUAUCAGGAAUACAGUUUCAUUCGCAUCGAACCCCGUUCCGGAAUACGCGCGAGACGCGUAAGCGCGCGGCCGUAGUCCCGUUCGAUUUUAAUUUCCUGACUACUUUUUAACGACUAUGUACAGAGUAAAAGAGUAAAAAAAAGAGUAGAACAAAAAGGGAAUAUACUCGCGAGGCGAAGAUUACUGUUGAUAUAUUCGAUCGCUGGUUUAUUGCAUUUCUGUAAAUUUGGUAAAUAACUCAGUAUUAAUAUUGCUCAUAAUAACUCAGUAUUAAGCCUUAUGGACCUUUUAACUCUUGAAAGGCGGUUGUACCAAACGACUUGGUAGGAAUGAGAAUGACACGUCACGGCGUGUCGUGCGUGCUGGAGUAUCGCGCCGCUGGCUCAUAUUACGUUAUAUUACGAUACUGAUUAUCAAAACGUUAGUCCCGACGUGUUUGAAUGGAAAUUUCCAGCGCCAGAGUUAUCAAUGAUCAAACAUCGAUAAAAGUCGACUCGAGGUACGAUGAGCUCGUCGUUCAUACAGCAGAGAAACGACGAGUAUAAAUCUCCUUCGGACGUAGAAGGUUGCUUUUACGUAGGUGCGAAUUAUCGAAUUGCCUAUGAACAUAAAACGAAAAAUGGUGGAAAACGGAGCUUUUAUCAGGGAGAAAUUACAGGUUGUCUCACUUGACCAUAUAGUAGCUUCUAACUACUUUUGGAAUGUGAAAGAUUAGUAAUAUCAACUGUUUUCAAGCAAUUAUUCUAACGUUGCAAAUUGCAAAAGAUUUAAGUUUGAUGCUUCGCGUGAUUUUCAUCCUUUUUCGCUUGACGGAAACAAUAUUUUCAAAAACAUAAUAAUAUCUUUUUAAACGAGUGUGGAGAGAAAUUUUUCAGUAUAUCCUGCACCUAAUGAAAAUGAAUAUUCUUGUAUCUUGAUAAUUUAUAGUCCAAUGCGACAAGAUUCUGAUCAAUUUGGAUAAAAGAUGUUAUUAUUCAUAAUGGAAAGAGGAUAAUGAAUAUUCCCAUUAUAAGGAUGGAAAGUUAUAAAAUUUAUCGCAGAAUGUGACAGUUUCAAUCGUUGGGAAGAUUGCAUGUGAAUUGCAUUGUUCAUUAAUGUGCUCCAAUUCAAGCGGAAACAUACGGCGAUGAAUAGUCAGCAUUCAUUUCUGAGUUAUUUCGAAAAUUAAGGUGCAUGGAUGGUAUCCUGGGUAUAAUGGCGUCGUUAAAAUUUUAUCGUCGCUUGUCUUUUACGGGGGAAUCGGUUUAAGGCUACUGGGAAUUAGAGAAGUGUACGAGGGGUGUUAAUUAAAGCGGUGAAAGAUGUAAGAGGAAAUAUUAUGUCGUGAUGUAAUGCUUCACUUAUGACGAUGUAAGUAACCUGGAAUUGUAUUAAAAUCAUGAAAUCAGCGAAAUCAUAGUGGUAAGUCAACUGAACAUUUUAAUUGCAAACAACACGAUAUCGAGCAACAUAUUUAUGCAAUAGAAAUGUCAGUAUAUAAUAGAGCAAUUCGAUAAUAGACGUUUAAGAAAUCUUAUCAACUAAUAGACGUUAAGUAUAUACAUAUAAGUUGAAUGCAUUAUAUGCCUGGUUAUAAAAUAUAUCUAAAUUGAACGAGAAAUUAAAAAGAGCAGAAUACGUAUCUCUGGAAGAAGAUAACUUUACAGAUUUUCUCGACGACUGUAACUAACUAUAGAAAGUUCUGCGACUAAAAGUAUAUGUUACGACCUCUCAACCAGGUGACGAUCAGUCAUGUUGUAACUAUUCGGUUGAGGUCGCAAACCCUGAACGAUAUUAACGUUCAAGGUGGAGGGAAAUUAAAGGAUUUCUGUAUUUAUAGAUUUUAUUUGAAGUGUUUAGUAUAAACGUAAGAGUAUGGAACGUAAGUAAUAGAGUUUAAAUAUGCGACGAGUGCGUGAUGAGUCUUUUUCUCUCGAAGCGCCUGGUGUUUAUAUUUUAAAUGUCAGUGUAGAGGGUGUGUUGUCGUCAACGUUUCCUGUGAAGUAGGAGUCUGUGUCUGUUCAGUCCUGUGACUGUCGAACUGUCGUUGGCGUCUCGCAUGUGGUGCGUUCUGUACCUACCUGGCCGAGGAUGCGGAGCAUAACGUCUAGUUAACGACAUCGUCCUUGGUCUGUUGUCGAGUUCUCAUCUGGUCGAAGUUGACACGUCGUUUGCUGUUGAGCGGAUCCGUCGAGCGCUUAACACUAGAUUUACGGGACCUGUCAAUUUAACGGAUUUCAAACUUCGAAAUGAAAUACCAUUUUGCAUCGUAAAUUAAUCAUUUCAUCCAAAGAAUUUAUACACACAAUUAUUUUAUGUUUGGUUGUGUAACUAGUGCUUUCGAAUUGAUAAUUAACAGACACAUAAUGGAGCACAUAAAAGAUUGCGCUGAAACCGAGGCGCAUCGAGUUUUGAAAAAAGACAUGACGUAGUUUUCUAGGAAUUCUAUAUGCCCGGGGCGCAUAUGAAGCGAGAUCAUUGAAAGCUUCCGAAAGAUUACAAACAGAUAAAUUUGCGCUGAUAUCCGAAAUAUGGAACAGGCUUGUUAUAAGCCUUAUGAAAAUAUCUCAAUAGAUGAAUAAUUAUUUCCAACGAAAGCGCGAUGCAGGUUUACGCAAUAUAUGUCGAAUAAGCCUCAUAAAUUUGGCAUUAAGUUUUGGUUAGCAGUUGAGUCCAAACAAAAUAUAUUUUGAAUGGUAUCCCUUAUAUGGGGAAAGAUGAAACUCGAUGCUCAAAAUCGUUGGACGAGUUUGUAACAUUAAAAUUAGCCGAACCAUAUUUAAACGAGGCAGAAAUAUAACGACAGAUAAUUUCUUUACAAGCAUCCCGCUAUCUAAAAAAUUACUUGCAGAAAAAACAGCCUUGGUAAAAAAAGGACAAAAUGACUUUGUUUUUCUCACAUUUAUGUAAAUCAGAAAACUGCACGCUUACUGUGUAUAAAAGUAAACCUAACGUAAAAGUCCUCCCUCUAAACACCAAACAUACAGGUGUACAAGUAGAAGACAAUUGUAAACGUGUUCCAGAAAUCAUUACUUUUUAUAAUACAACAAAGUUUGGCGUGGAUCGUUGUUGUGGUGUGUCGUUGACCAGGUGGCGCGCAAAUAUAGUGUGAAAGCAGGGAGUUUCCGAUGGCCCCUUUAAGCUUUUUUCAAUAUUUUAGAUUUGGCAGCGAUAAACGCGUGGAUAUUAUGUAAAGAGUACACCGGAUCGAAAAUAUCCAGAAAGCAGUUUAUAUUUUGUUUAGCCGAGGAAUUAGCUGGAGAAAACAAGAAGAACAUUUACCAAAGAUCAGAUGCUUCAUUUCUGUCAGCUUCAACGUCAGAAGUGCGAAGAAGUUGUGGGCAAGUGGGUUACUGCAAAAAGAAAAUAGAAGCAAUAAUUGUUGUAUAUAUUGCAAAAAGAUCGUAUGCGGAAAAUGCACAAACAAAAUUCAGUAUAUUUGUAAAAAAUGUGCUCAAUAAAUAUGAUUACCCUAUACCGUUAA